AGCGCUCACCAUUCUGCAGAAUAAGGACCAGAACUUUACAGAGGUAAUCUGUGUCUGUUCUUUUUACUAUUACAGGUAACCUGCUGUUCCUGGCUGUGGUCAGCCAUUUUGGGGUGAAGCUGCACCGGCCCAGGCUGAUUGCUAUGGGCUGUUUCCUAACGGCUGUAGGAUCCUUCCUCACAGGCCUGCCACACUUCUUCAUGGGACGAGAAGGGAUUAAGAGAUGCAGAGAAGAGACCAGAAGAUGAAGCAGUGGUUCCAACCAGUGUCCACCCCUCAAGGGCCCACUUAACUGCCAAGAGCUCCCGGUUGCCUACAUCGUAGUUCCCUUCCGCUGGCGAGAACCGCUUGGAGAGUGUUGGGGAAUAAUCAGAAUUGGUUGGUAACAUAGAGGAAAUUUCCACGACAAGAGAAAGGCGCAUGGGUGCAGUUCCUUGUCCUCAUUCCCAUGUGAAAGGACCGCACCAGAUCCGGUGUCCGAGGCGUCCACCUCUACCACAAAGGCACGAGUAUGAUCAGGAUGAACGAGGAUGGGUCCGAAGGUGAAACGUCCCUUAAGCUCUAUGAAUGCCCUGUCAGCCUCGGGAUUCCUGCAAAAACCUGCUUGAGUGAGGUGGGAUAGGGCCGUAUGUGUUCCGGAAGGGUUUUUGGAGAAGAUCAGGAUGUCGUCGAGAUUUUAAGCGUUGCGGAGGUCCAGUUUGGUGAAGAAUUGGGCUCCUAGGGCCAACUCCAAGGCAGCGGACAUCGGGUGAGUUGAACCUGCCUGUGGGUGCGGUGGGGAUAUUCCUGGGAGGUCUACUGAUGAAGAGGUAUAAGCUUGGCGUUGUGUCUGGAGCCCAGUUGUCUUUCGUCACCCCCUUCAUGGCCUACCUCCUCCUCCUUCCGCUGUCUGGCACUAAGUGUGACAACGUUUAGGUGGCUGGUCUGACCGUGUCCUACAACGGGUCCACUGGUGUACGAUGGCAGCCUGUUGUCAGAGUGUAACAGAGACUGCUCCUGCUUGGCUGGGGAGUGGGACCCUGUGUGUUCAGACAACGGCAUCACCUACACCUCCCCCUGCCUUGCAGGCUGCUCCAGCCUUACAGGUUACUGCAAGAACACGGUACCAACACUAUUAAUGUACUGAGUGUACAACACAUUCACAGGAAUGCUGGCCCAUGUUGACUCCAAUGCUUUCCACAGUUGUGUCAAGUUGGCCGUAUGUCUUUUGAGUGGUGGACCAUUCGUGAUACACACAGGAAACUGUUGAGCGUAAAAAAAACAGCAGAGUUGCAGUUCUUGACACAAACUGGUACCCCUGGCAUGCCCCGUUGAAAGGCACGUAAAUAUUUUGUCUUGCCCAUUCACCCUCUGAAUGGCAUACAUACACAAUCCAUGUCUCAAUUGUCUCAAGGCUUACAAUUUUGUUUUAAACCUUUCUCCUCCUCUUUAUCUACACUGAUUUAAGUGGAUUUCACUAGUGACAUCCAUAAGGGAUUAUAGCUUUAAGCUGGAAUCACCUGGUCAGCAUAUGUCAUGGAAAGAGCAGGUGUUCUUAAUAUUUUAUCCACUCAGUGUAACUCAUUGACACUGAAAUAAGUUAUUUUCAACCAUUAACUGGGGCCUUGUUGAUGCCUUAUUUAGGGAAGUAAUUGCUGAUUGACAAUAAAGCAUUAUUUUGAUGUAUGGGAAAAAAUAUGGUAUCCGAUUCCUAUGUAGAGAAGGUUCUCUCUGGUUGUUCAAUAUGACUUCAACUUUUACAGGGCACUUUUUAAAAAUAUUUUUUUAUUUUGUUUAUUUUUUAUUAACAAAUAUCAUCAAACAAAAGAGGAAUAGUCACAUGCAACCAAGCAUACAAACAAUAUAUUUACAUUGCCAGGAAUCCUAAACAAACAAAUCAUAUUCGUUAAUAAUACAACAAGUUUUAAUUGCCUUUUUGUUUUUCGUUUUAGUUAAAGUGGUGCCAUAUUGUUUAAACUCAUUUAUAAAGUGAAAACAGUUAGGUUUUGAAUAUGAAACUUACCUAUUGUUAUUAGC
Long non-coding RNA from Oncorhynchus tshawytscha (Chinook salmon), 2016 nucleotides. Lineage: Eukaryota; Metazoa; Chordata; Actinopteri; Salmoniformes; Salmonidae. The record is from Ensembl.